Molecule: ribosomal RNA, 275 nt
Filed under: Zoroaster carinatus
Lineage: Eukaryota; Metazoa; Echinodermata; Asteroidea; Forcipulatida; Zoroasteridae
Description: partial 28S ribosomal RNA
Rfam family: Eukaryotic large subunit ribosomal RNA
Source: RNAcentral
GCGGCGAGCGAAGCGGGAAGAGCCCAUCGCCGAAUCCCCGAGCCCCCCGAGGGCCCGAGGGAACUGUGGCGUAAGGAAGUCCGGCCCCGCGGUCGCGCCGGCGCCGAGGUCCUUCUGAUCGAGGCAUGCUCCGUCCCAGGGCGGGUGUCAGGCCCCUGCGGGCGCCUGCCGGCCGCGGACCAGGGCUUCCGGGAGUCGGGUUGUUUUGUAGCGCAGCCCAAAGGCGGGUGGUAAACUCCAUCCAAGGCUAAAUACCUGCACGAGACCGAUAGAGC